Molecule: ribosomal RNA, 206 nt
Filed under: uncultured bacterium
Lineage: Bacteria
Description: partial 16S ribosomal RNA
Rfam family: Bacterial small subunit ribosomal RNA
Source: RNAcentral
UGCGUAGGCGGAACUGCAAGUGUUUGGUGAAAUCCCCGGCUUAACCGGGGAAUGGCUUAGCAAACUGCAGUUCUUGAGGCAAGUAGGGGUGUGUGGAACUCUUGGUGGAGCGGUGGAAUGCGUAGAUAUCAAGAGGAACGCCGAAGGUGAAGACAGCACACUGGACUUGUACUGACGCUGAGGCACGAAAGCGUGGGGAGCAAACA